AGCCUUAGCAGCCCGAAAGGGUGAGCCACCGACGACUGAUAAAUAAAUAGGGGUUCUGAAAUGCUAGUCAGCGCAGCCAAACGUCUCUAGGCGUCGCUGGCAACACCGUCAAAUUGCGGGGAUCUCCUAAAGACUCUUGACACCAAGCAGCACUGGGAAACCAGGCUGUGGCCAGGGCAAUGACCUCGGGUAUGGUAACAGCGCAAGAGUAUGUCCGCCUAGUCGUUAGGCGGUAAAUGGAUAAUCCGCAGCCAAGUCCUACGGCCUCCUCCGGGGGGUACGGAUGCUGUUCACAGGCCAAAUGGUGGUGGGUGGACGCCCAGAAAACGGGCGCUUCUGCUUAAGAUAUGGUCGGGCCCCUAGGGAAACCUAGGGGAUAGUCACCGCACGGUCAAAAUGUAGGCGCCGAGUCCAGUGUUCAGGCUCGGUGUCACGGGCGGCCGUGCCCCCUUGAUAAAACAAGGACGAUUUCCAAAACGUUCCGUAGGUGAACCUGCGGAAGGAUCAUUAACGAGUUAGGGUCUUCCAAAGCCCGACCUCCCAACCCUAUGUUUAUUGUACCUUGUGUUGCUUCGGCGGGACCGUCUCACGACCGCCGGAGGGCCGUAAAACGUCCUCUGGCCCGCGCCCGCCGAUGGCCCUCCACACAAAAUUCUGAAUAAAUCAUGCCUAAUUGUCUGAGUAUAAUACACAAAAAUUAAAAGCAAAACUUUCAACAACGGAUCUCUUGGUUCUGGCAUCGAUGAAGAACGCAGCGAAAUGCGAUAAGUAAUGCGAAUUGCAGAAUUCCAGUGAGUCAUCGAAUCUUUGAACGCACAUUGCGCCCUUUGGUAUUCCGAAGGGCAUGCCUGUUCGAGCGUCAUUUUCACCCCUCAAGCCCCCGGCUUGGUUUUGGACGGUCUGGUUUAGGCACCGCCUAGACCCCUCCUAAAGAUAAUGACGGCGGCCUCGUUUGGACCCCCGGUACACUGAGCUUCUUAACUGAGCACGUAUCGGAUCAAGGGUGCGCGGGACACGGUCUUCAACCCCCU
Molecule: unclassified non-coding RNA, 1031 nt
Filed under: Exophiala bergeri
Lineage: Eukaryota; Fungi; Ascomycota; Eurotiomycetes; Chaetothyriales; Herpotrichiellaceae
Description: sequence contains 18S rRNA gene, ITS1, 5.8S rRNA gene, ITS2, 28S rRNA gene
Rfam family: 5.8S ribosomal RNA (bases 708-862)
Source: RNAcentral